Trichosurus vulpecula (common brushtail) is the source of this 461-nucleotide long non-coding RNA. RefSeq lists it as uncharacterized. The record is from RefSeq and is a predicted model, not a curated record. The transcript is spliced from 3 exons. NCBI's taxonomy places the organism in Eukaryota, Metazoa, Chordata, Mammalia, Diprotodontia, Phalangeridae.
GUGUUCUGUCCACUCCAGAUCUUGGGAGCCCAGCGUCCCCAGUGAGGCCGAGUCCAAGGCCGGCCAGGGACCUGUAGGGAGGGGAAGAGCGGCUGGCCUAGGCCCAGGUCUGGCCUCCUGCCACCCAGGGCUUUGUUUUUCUUCCCUGUUGCUAUGGAGGAGCCCCGUGUCCCAGCUGUGGGGCUCUGCUGACGGAAGAGGGGCCGUGUCUCUUGGCUGUCUCUCGGGUCCAAAACUGCGGCCUCUUUCGCAAAAAGACCUUCGGACGUCUGUGAACCCCGUGAGGGCCCAGGGCUCAGACCUCUUGUGCAGGGAUAUGAAGUCUUGAACGGAACCAUGAGCUCCCGACCUGGAACUGCUCUUGGAUGUUAUCGAGUCCCAAGUGUUCCUUUUACAAAUUGGGAGACUGAGGCCCAGACUGGGUAAUCAUCGUUACAAUGUUGCUGUUACUGUGUACAAUG